RNAcentral lists this ribosomal RNA (434 nucleotides) under uncultured bacterium. RNAcentral's name for it is "partial 16S ribosomal RNA". It matches the Rfam family "Bacterial small subunit ribosomal RNA", at positions 29 to 507 of the family's 1533-position model. The record is from RNAcentral.
AGCGAACGCUGGCGGCAGGCCUAACACAUGCAAGUCGAACGAACCUUUCGGGGUUACUGGCGGACGCGUGAGUAACACGUGGGAACGUGCCUUUAGGUUCGGAAUAACUCAGGGAAACUUGUGCUAAUACCGAAUGUGCCCUCCGGUGCAAAGAUUUGUCGCCUUUAGAGCGGCCCGCGUCUGAUUAGCUAGUUGGUUGAGGUAAUGGCUCACCAAGGCGACGAUCAGUAGCUGGUCAGAGAGGAUGAUCAGCCACAUUGGGACUGAGACACGGCCCAAACUCCUACGGGAGGCAGCAGUGGGGAAUCUUGCGCAAUGGGCGAAAGCCUGACGCAGCCAUGACGCGUGAAUGAUGAAGGUCUUAGGAUUGUAAAAUUCUUUAACCGGGGACGAUAAUGACGGUACCCGGAGAAGAAGCCCCGGCUAACUUCGUG